RNAcentral lists this long non-coding RNA (830 nucleotides) under Dromaius novaehollandiae (emu). Its description in RNAcentral is "lncRNA (ENSDNVG00000014317.1)". The record is from RNAcentral. Lineage: Eukaryota; Metazoa; Chordata; Aves; Casuariiformes; Dromaiidae.
GUAAAAUAUUUAUUACCCGUUAAAGCGAUUGAAGGCCACCCAUCCAUUGCCUUUUAGAAACCAGCAUAAAGAGUGAUAUCUUGAACUAACAAAGAUGGCUGGCACAGGCAGACCGACUGAUACGACAUUUCUGCAAUGCGGUUGUAACUCUGCUAGAGCUGUGGCAAUCCGGUGGAAACAUCCAGCAGCAAUUCAGAGGAAAAGCUCUUCACUGGAUCAUGAGAGAUCUGCACACAGGAACAAAGUCCCACCAUCCCAUACUAAAGGACAAAGUAGAGUCACGGCUAGAGUCCAGGCCUCAUCUGCUGCAGAAGCAAAAUCGGGAGGACAAAAUUCCAAACGUCUGGCUGCCCUUUCGAGGCCGUAACGAAUCCAUUGUAUCUACCACUGACCGCUUUUUAUCCUGAAUUUUCUGGUGAGAUCAGCGGAUUUAGCUGUUCCUUCUGGUUGGCUGUUCUGAAGCUGCGUGAGCGCUGCACAGGGGAAAGUGCAGUCAACUGCGGCUUUAUUUAUGAGUUUCUAUACAGCAUCUCUGUUUCAAGGUGAGGGAACAAAUACGUGCCUCAUGUUGGACGAUGAGGAAGCUUGCAUCAACAAUUCAUUUGCAAAGACCUGUAUGUUAGCUGCUUUGACAAGAAUGCCGUCACUAAUUAAAAUAGUGCUUUUAAUGACAAAUGAGCAGGAAUGUUCAUUAAAACCUGUUGCAGACUAAUUUAACAGAUUUCAUAAUCUAGUGACUAAGAAGAGAAGGAAGUGGUGUUGGAAUGUACCAGAUAUGAUUUAAUAGUGCAUUUAAUAAACAAGAAAAGUUCAAUAUGUAUAAUUUAAUU